AACGAACGCUGGCGGCAUGCCUAACACAUGCAAGUCGAACGAGAUCUUCGGGUCUAGUGGCGCACGGGUGCGUAACGCGUGGGAAUCUGCCCUUUGGUUCGGAAUAACAGUUGGACACGACUGCUAAUACCGGAUGAUGACGAAAGUCCAAAGAUUUAUCGCGAGAGGAUGAGCCCGCGUAGGAUUAGCUAGUUGGUGUGGUAAAGGAGCACCAAGGCGACGAUCCUUAGCUGGUCUGGGAGGAUGAUCAGCCACACUGGGACUGAGACACGGCCCAGACUCCUACGGGAGGCAGCAGUGGGGAAUAUUGGACAAUGGGCGAAAGCCUGAUCCAGCAAUGCCGCGUGAGUGAUGAAGGCCUUAGGGUUGUAAAGCUCUUUUACCCGGGAUGAUAAUGACAGUACCGGGAGAAUAAGCUCCGGCUAACUCCGUGCCAGCCGCCGCGGUAA
RNAcentral lists this ribosomal RNA (449 nucleotides) under uncultured bacterium. Its description in RNAcentral is "partial 16S ribosomal RNA". It matches the Rfam family "Bacterial small subunit ribosomal RNA", at positions 29 to 523 of the family's 1533-position model. The record is from RNAcentral.